This 248-nucleotide unclassified non-coding RNA is filed under the name rhizosphere metagenome. RNAcentral describes it as "partial ribosomal RNA internal transcribed spacer region". The record is from RNAcentral.
GUAGGUGAACCUGCGGAAGGAUCAUUAUCGUACCACCGAGGUGCAAGGGCUGUCGCUGACCUUUCAAAGGUCGUGCACGCCCGAGCGCUCUCGCCACAAUCCAUCUCACCCCUUUGUGCAUCACCGCGUGGGUCCCCCUUUGCGGGGAGGGCUCGCGUUUUCACACAAAACUUGAUACAGUCUAGAAUGUUUAUUUUUGCGGUAACACGCAAUCAAUACAACUUUCAACAACGGAUCUCUUGGCUCUC